Molecule: ribosomal RNA, 405 nt
Filed under: uncultured bacterium
Lineage: Bacteria
Description: bacterial SSU rRNA
Rfam family: Bacterial small subunit ribosomal RNA
Source: RNAcentral
AACGAACGCUGGCGGCGUGGAUUAGGCAUGCAAGUCGAACGCGAAAGAGGGGGUAACUCCUCGAGUAGAGUGGCGAACGGGUGAGUAACGCGUGAAGAACCUGCCUUCAACAGGGGGAUAACACUCCCAACGGGUGCUAAAACCGCAUGAGACCACGGGGCUGCAUGGCCCAGGGGUCAAAGGUGGCCUCUACUUGUAAGCUACCGGUUGAAGAUGGCUUCGCGUCCCAUUAGCUAGUUGGCGGNGUAACGGACCACCAAGGCGACGAUGGGUAGCUGGUCUGAGAGGAUGGUCAGCCACACUGGGACUGAGAUACGGCCCAGACUCCUACGGGAGGCAGCAGUCGAGAGGCUUUGGCAAUGGGGAAACCCUGACCAAGCGACGCCGCGUGGAGGAUGAAGGCCC